Pelmatolapia mariae (spotted tilapia) is the source of this 926-nucleotide long non-coding RNA. RefSeq lists it as uncharacterized. Lineage: Eukaryota; Metazoa; Chordata; Actinopteri; Cichliformes; Cichlidae. The transcript is spliced from 4 exons. The record is from RefSeq and is a predicted model, not a curated record.
UUUAUCAUCUACUCGAACUGAGGAAAACGUUUGACUAACUCAAAGAAAAUUUCCGCGCCUCCCCUGCCUGUCUGCAGAGGCAGUUUUGAAUUCAGGAGCGGCAUGAUGGCAGCGGCAAACCCUGGCGGUUCUCCGGGUUCGUGGCAACCACGGAUGGGAAAAUGUGGAGGUUGCACGGCUGAUGUUUACUGUUCGUGGCACAGGAAGAGGCAGUUUCAUUUCAGGAAUGAGUGUGCACAAUCAAAGAAUAGAGCGACUGUGGGGAGACCUCUGGGUGGCCGUUACAUGCAUUUACUACGAUGUUCUUCACAACCCUGAGGAAGAAGGCCUUCUUGACAUUUCAAAUGCUGCACACCUCUUUUGCUGCCAUUACAUCUUUCUUCCUCGACUAGAGGAUAAUUUUAAUACAUUUUGCAGUGGAUGGGACAACCAUCCACUGCGAACAGAAAACAACAUGAGUCCCCCAACCAGCUGUGGGAGUUGGGUCACAGAUAUUACCCUGUUCCUGUUCCAGAAAACACACAGCUUAUCACACAUUUGAUUUCCAUGUGUGACAACUGCAAGUGUCCAGAGUGAGGACAGACUGAGGGACCCACUGCUGCACAUCAUCUGUGAGGCUUUGCACCCCUGAUGAUCCACCAGGACAAACUCAGCAGUGUGUGAGGAAGAGGAGGAGGAAGAGCCAGCAGCAGCUGACAGAUGGAGAGAAUAGACAGACUGUUCCCUGUUUGUGAAGGACUGCUAGGAAAGUUUAACAUAACUAAUUAUCUGUCCUGAAUCAGUCUUAUUAGGUAAUGUUCAAAUAAUGUUAUCAUCCCAGUGUUUUCAGUGUGGGAGAAAGUACUCAGGGCCUUCAAGUUACACACUAUGAAAGGCAGCAACAAGUUUAAUGUUCAGAAACCUAAAGUAUGUAUCAGCAGCAGAAU